RNAcentral lists this transfer RNA (85 nucleotides) under Aurantimonas coralicida. RNAcentral's name for it is "tRNA-Leu". It matches the Rfam family "tRNA". Rfam says of the family: Transfer RNA (tRNA) molecules are approximately 80 nucleotides in length. Their secondary structure includes four short double-helical elements and three loops (D, anti-codon, and T loops). Further hydrogen bonds mediate the characteristic L-shaped molecular structure. tRNAs have two regions of fundamental functional importance: the anti-codon, which is responsible for specific mRNA codon recognition, and the 3' end, to which the tRNAs corresponding amino acid is attached (by aminoacyl-tRNA synthetases). tRNAs cope with the degeneracy of the genetic code in two manners: having more than one tRNA (with a specific anti-codon) for a particular amino acid; and 'wobble' base-pairing, i.e. permitting non-standard base-pairing at the 3rd anti-codon position. RNAcentral also lists the same sequence under 7 other names. Lineage: Bacteria; Pseudomonadati; Pseudomonadota; Alphaproteobacteria; Hyphomicrobiales; Aurantimonadaceae. The record is from RNAcentral.
GCCCAGGUGGCGGAAUUGGUAGACGCGCACCGUUCAGGUCGGUGUGUCGCAAGGCGUGAAGGUUCGAGUCCUUUCCUGGGCACCA